Molecule: ribosomal RNA, 253 nt
Filed under: uncultured microorganism
Description: partial 16S ribosomal RNA
Rfam family: Bacterial small subunit ribosomal RNA
Source: RNAcentral
UACGGAGGGGGCAAGCGUUGUUCGGAGUUACUGGGCGUAAAGCGCGCGUAGGCGGUGCGGUAAGUCAGGGGUUAAAGGCUGCAGCUCAACUGCAGUAAGGCCUUUGAUACUAUCGCGCUAGAGUACCAGAGAGGAUGGCGGAAUUCCCGGUGUAGCGGUGAAAUGCGUAGAUAUCAGGAGGAACACCGGAGGCGAAAGCGGCUAUCUGGCGCACACCUGACGCUGAGGCACGAAAGCUAGGGGAGCAAACAGG